Molecule: ribosomal RNA, 253 nt
Filed under: uncultured bacterium
Lineage: Bacteria
Description: partial 16S ribosomal RNA
Rfam family: Bacterial small subunit ribosomal RNA
Source: RNAcentral
UACAGAGGUCUCAAGCGUUGUUCGGAUUCAUUGGGCGUAAAGGGUGCGUAGGCGGCGCGGUAAGUCGGGUGUGAAAUCUUGGAGCUUAACUCCGAAACUGCAUUCGAUACUGCCGUGCUUGAGGACUGGAGAGGAGACUGGAAUUUACGGUGUAGCGGUGAAAUGCGUAGAUAUCGUAAGGAAGACCAGUGGCGAAGGCGGGUCUCUGGGCAUUAACUGACGCUGAGGAGCGAAAGCAUGGGGAGCGAACAGG